RNAcentral lists this ribosomal RNA (89 nucleotides) under Sinocyclocheilus rhinocerous. Lineage: Eukaryota; Metazoa; Chordata; Actinopteri; Cypriniformes; Cyprinidae. The record is from RNAcentral.
UGCAGUUGCUUAUAUUUAAGCUAAGCAGGGCUGAGCCUGGUCAGUACCUGGAUGGGAGACCUCCUGGGAAAACUAGGUUGCUGCUGGAA